UUGGCUCAGAAGCAGCCACCAUUUAAAGAGUGCGUAAUAGCUCACUGGUCGAGAGUCCCUGCGCCGAAAAUUUCCGGGGCUAAAGUACGGAACCGAAGCCGUGGCUGUGUACUUAGGUGCACGGGGUAGGGGAGCGUUGCCACAGGGGUGAAGCUGGUCUGGAAGGACUGGUGGACUUGUGGGAAGUGAGAAUGUUGGUAUGAGUAGCGAAAAGAAAGGUGAGAAUCCUUUCCACCGAAAGCAUAAGGAUUCCUGAGCAACGAUCGUCGUCUCAGGGUAAGUCGGGACCUAAUCCGAGGCAAAGAGCGUAGGAGAUGGACAACAGGUUGAUAUUCCUGUACCGGCAGCAAUUGUUUGAGCGAAGGAGUGACACAGAAGGGCAGGCAGGCGCGAGACUGGAUUGUCGCGUGCAAGCGUGUAGGGUAGUGUACAGGCAAAUCCGUACACUGAGAGCCUGAGGCGUUACGCGGAGCGAGCAGAGAUGCGAGCGAAGCUGCUGAUCCCACACUGUCGAGAAAAGCUUCUAGUGAGAGAGCUGCCGCCCGUACCGUAAACCGACACAGGUAUGCGGGGAGAGAAUCCUAAGGUGCGCGGGAGAACCCUCGUUAAGGAACUCGGCAAAAUGUACCCGUAACUUCGGGAUAAGGGUAGCCGUCUUGGUGAAGGAGCUUGCCUCUGGAGCUGAAGGCGGUCGCAGAGAAGAGGCCCAAGCGACUGUUUACCACAAACACAGGUGCCUGCUAAAGCGAAAGCUGACGUAUAGGUGCUGACACCUGCCCAGUGCUGGAAGGUUAAGGAAGGAUGUCCGGGCAACCAAAGCAUUCGACCGAAGCCCCAGUGAACGGCGGCCGUAACUAUAACGGUCCUAAGGUAGCGAAAUUCCUUGUCGGGUAAGUUCCGACCCGCACGAAAGGUGUAACGAUUUGGGCACUGUCUCAACGAGGGACCCGGUGAAAUUGAAAUACCUGUGAAGAUGCAGGUUACCCGCGACUGGACAGAAAGACCCCAUGGAGCUUUACUGUAACCUGACAUUGGGUUUUGUUGUAUUACGUACAGGAUAGGUGGGAGGCUUGGAAGGCUGGACGCUAGUCUGGCUGGAGCCGGCGUUGGGAUACCACCCUUGAUACAACGGAAUUCUAACCGAGAGAGUAACGAAAUCCGGGACAGUGUCAGGCGGGCAGUUUGACUGGGGCGGUCGCCUCCGAAAGAGUAACGGAGGCGCCCAAAGGUUCCCUCAGCGCGGCCGGAAAUCGCGCGAAGAGUGUAAAGGCAGAAGGGAGCUUGACUGCGAGCCAAACACGGCGAGCAGGUACGAAAGUAGGGCUUAGUGAUCCGGUGGUACCGAGUGGAAGGGCCAUCGCUCAACGGAUAAAAGCUACCCUGGGGAUAACAGGCUAAUCUCUCCCAAGAGUCCAUAUCGACGGGGAGGUUUGGCACCUCGAUGUCGGCUCAUCACAUCCUGGGGCUGAAGUCGGUCCCAAGGGUUGGGCUGUUCGCCCAUUAAAGUGGUACGUGAGCUGGGUUCAGAACGUCGUGAGACAGUUCGGUCCCUAUCCAUCGCGGGCGCAAGAGAUUUGAAGGGGUCUGCUCCUAGUACGAGAGGACCGGAGUGGACGGACCGCUGGUGUACCAGUUAUUCCGCCAGGAGUACAGCUGGGUAGCUACGUCCGGACUGGAUAAACGCUGAAAGCAUCUAAGCGUGAAGCCAUCCUUAAGAUGAGAUCUCUCACAGAGUAAUCUGGUAAGACACCUUAAAGAAGAUGAGGUAGAUAGGCCGGGAGUGUAAGUGCAGCAAUGUAUUGAGCUGACCGGUACUAAUAUGUCGAGGGCUUGACUU
Molecule: ribosomal RNA, 1837 nt
Filed under: human gut metagenome
Description: bacterial LSU rRNA
Rfam family: Bacterial large subunit ribosomal RNA
Source: RNAcentral